GACGAACGCUGGCGGCGUGCUUAACACAUGCAAGUCGAACGGAAAGGCCCUGCUUUUGUGGGGUGCUCGAGUGGCGAACGGGUGAGUAACACGUGAGUAACCUGCCCUUGACUUUGGGAUAACUUCAGGAAACUGGGGCUAAUACCGGAUAGGAGCUCCUGCUGCACGGGGGGGGUUGGAAAGUUUCGGCGGUUGGGGAUGGACUCGCGGCUUAUCAGCUUGUUGGUGGGGUAGUGGCUUACCAAGGCUUUGACGGGUAGCCGGCCUGAGAGGGUGACCGGCCACCUUGGGACUGAGAUACGGCCCAGACUCCUACGGGAGGCAGCAGUGCGGAAUAUUGCACGAUGGGCGGCAGCCUGAUGCAGCAGCGCCGCGUGCGGGAUGACGGCCUUCGGGUUGUAAACCGCUUUCGCCUGUGACGAAGCGUGAGUGACGGUAAUGGGUAAAGAAGCACCGGCUAACUACGUG
Molecule: ribosomal RNA, 468 nt
Filed under: uncultured bacterium
Lineage: Bacteria
Description: partial 16S ribosomal RNA
Rfam family: Bacterial small subunit ribosomal RNA
Source: RNAcentral